Long non-coding RNA from Vigna radiata var. radiata (mung bean), 464 nucleotides. RefSeq lists it as uncharacterized. The record is from RefSeq and is a predicted model, not a curated record. The transcript is spliced from 2 exons. NCBI's taxonomy places the organism in Eukaryota, Viridiplantae, Streptophyta, Magnoliopsida, Fabales, Fabaceae.
ACAGGUAAUAGGAGAGGCUACCCAUUUAUCAGGGACAUUGUUGAUGAUUUAUUGACAAGAGUAAUUCCUCGUUACCAAGGGAAUUGUCUAGUUGACAAUGGGUUUUCUAAGCAGCGGUUCUACAAUCCAAUGAUCAUUUUGUUAUUUCUAUUGAAGAGAUACAAUACAAUAAUAAGUCCUGUAAUGAUUAUUUCUUGUUUGAUUUAUAAGUGUAACAUUUGGUCAAUCUUUACUUCUAUUCAAGUUUCUUUUUUGCUUUCCAUUUUUUAGCUAACAUUGUUCCACUACAUAGGUGGUAUUAUCCUUAUGGGCACUUGGAUUUUCUCAAAAUGUCAGAGAAGUUCCAUCAAUUUUUAUGUCACUUAUUGUCUUUUCUUUUUUAAUUUUAUACAAGUUGUUGUUGGUUUAUGAAGGAUUUAAAACAUUAAGAUUUUCAAUAUUUAUUGGGUUGAUAGUUUUCUAGU